CUGAAACUAGCAUUCUAAUUCACUCAGAAUCACUUGCUUUAUCUGAAUCGCUUCCUCAAAACCUAGAGACUAUUAAGUUACUUCUCACUCCUAUUUUCUCUGUUCUGGUUCGGAUUGAUAGUGUCGAUGUUUUGGAAAAUGUCCCUUAUGCAGAGUGUAUAACGUUGAUCCUCCAUUGCAGCUUUUGCUUGAAGCAACUUCAGUGAUGGUGGAAAUAAGGACGAACUGGAAGCAGAACUUAAAGAAUAAGGCAUGGCAUAUCAACACCACAAUCGUGCAGGGAAGAUACGAUGUUUGCUGUCCUAUGAUGUCAGCCUGGGAUCUUCAUAAAGCUUGGCCAGAGGUAGAUUUUCGGGUACUUGUCUGCACAAUAACUCUGGCAUGGGAUGUCAAUCUACCUGCUCACAGGUACAUUGCUACAUGCACGGUGUUGUGAAAGUGUGAAGUCCACAGUAUCACACAACAUGCCUGCACUGUGUUGCUACAUGCCUUGCUAGAUGACUGCUUUCAUUUUUUUAUUCCAGUUCAGACCAGAUUAGCCCUGAUGCAAGAAAAGGUACUAAUUAUGGUGGUUGUCAAAUUACUCGUGCUAACUUAUUGAC
Molecule: long non-coding RNA, 602 nt
Organism: Trifolium pratense (red clover)
Lineage: Eukaryota; Viridiplantae; Streptophyta; Magnoliopsida; Fabales; Fabaceae
Exons: 6
Source: RefSeq, a predicted model, not a curated record